GAACAAUAACUCUCAAAGGGUUAACGGAGGGCUGUGUAGGAUUGGAGCCAUCUGCAUCGCUUCCUCCCCGCGUGCUCAAAGCCGCCUGGAGCAGAUGCUGCUUGGGGCCGGGUGGCAUUGCUGUCAUUAGUGAAAUACAAACCAUCCAUAGCACUACAGUGCCGUUUCCGAGCACUUGUCGCUCCUGCGCGAGGGGAAAGUUGGCAGCUGGCUGCACUAUUGUCCACCACCUUACGAAACUCACGGCUUUGGGCUGCGUUUCCGACCCAG
This is a long non-coding RNA of Gallus gallus (chicken), 270 nucleotides long. The record is from Ensembl. Lineage: Eukaryota; Metazoa; Chordata; Aves; Galliformes; Phasianidae.